RNAcentral lists this transfer RNA (72 nucleotides) under Ovis aries (sheep). It matches the Rfam family "tRNA". Rfam says of the family: Transfer RNA (tRNA) molecules are approximately 80 nucleotides in length. The record is from Rfam by way of RNAcentral. Lineage: Eukaryota; Metazoa; Chordata; Mammalia; Artiodactyla; Bovidae.
UUCCUGGUGAUUUAGCUGGUAAAGAAUCCACCUGCAAUGUGGGAGACCUGGGUUCGAUCCCUGGCUUGGGAA